RNAcentral lists this ribosomal RNA (255 nucleotides) under uncultured bacterium. RNAcentral describes it as "partial 16S ribosomal RNA". It matches the Rfam family "Bacterial small subunit ribosomal RNA", at positions 524 to 776 of the family's 1533-position model. The record is from RNAcentral.
UACAGAGGGUGCAAGCGUUGUUCGGAAUUAUUGGGCGUAAAGCGCGUGUAGGCGGCUUUGCAAGUCGGGUGUGAAAGCCCUCAGCUCAACUGAGGAAGUGCGCCCGAAACUGCAGAGCUUGAGUACCGGAGAGGGUGGCGGAAUUCCCCAAGUAGAGGUGAAAUUCGUAGAUAUGGGGAGGAACACCGGGUGGCGAAGGCGGCCACCUGGACGGUCACUGACGCUGAGAACGCGAAAGCGUGGGGAGCAAACAGG